CCUACGGGGGGCAGCAGUGAGGAAUAUUGGUCAAUGGGCUUACGCCUGAACCAGCCAAGUCGCGUGAGGGAAGACUGCUCUAUGGGUUGUAAACCUCUUUUGUCAGGGAGCAAUUGGCGCUACGUGUAGCGUUAUCGAGAGUACCUGCAGACAAAGCAUCGGCUAACUCCGUGCCAGCAGACGCGGUAAUACGGAGGAUGCGAGCGUUAUCCGGAUUUAUUGGGUUGAAAGGGUGCGUAGGCGGAAUGCCAAGUCAGCGGUAAAAUCGCGGGGCUCAACCUCGCUCCGCCGUUGAAACUGGCGGUCUUGAGUGGGCGAGAAGUAUGCGGAAUGCGUGGUGUAGCGGUGAAAUGCAUAGAUAUCACGCAGAACUCCGAUUGCGAAGGCAGCAUACCGGCGCCCAACUGACGCUGAAGCACGAAAGCGUGGGUAUCGAACAGGAUUAGAUACCCUAGUAGUC
This 460-nucleotide ribosomal RNA is filed under the name uncultured bacterium. Its description in RNAcentral is "partial 16S ribosomal RNA". It matches the Rfam family "Bacterial small subunit ribosomal RNA", at positions 338 to 795 of the family's 1533-position model. The record is from RNAcentral.